Molecule: ribosomal RNA, 103 nt
Filed under: Deltaproteobacteria bacterium
Lineage: Bacteria; Pseudomonadati; Myxococcota; Myxococcia
Also listed under: 1 other name
Description: partial 23S ribosomal RNA
Rfam family: Bacterial large subunit ribosomal RNA
Source: RNAcentral
GGUCAAGCUAGGAAGGGCACACGGUGGAUGCCUUGGCGUCGAGAGGCGAUGAAGGACGUGGGCAGCUGCGAAAAGCUUCGGGGAGUGGCUAACACACUUUGAU